UGACCUUAAUAACCUAAAUAAAAAUAUAAUUUUUUUAAUUAUAUAUUGGUAAAAUUGAAUUUAGAGGGGCUUUAAAGAAAAUGAAGUGUGCAAAGCUAUUGGACCUAAUGUUAUUUCAAUAAAGGUGUGGAAAUGCUUAGGAGAUGAAGGAAUUUCUUGGCUUGUGAAACUUUUCAAUAUCAUUUUGAAGACUAAAAGAUGUCAGAUGAGUGGAGGAGUGUGUUGAUCCUAUUUUAAGAAUAUAAGUAAUGCACAAGGUGUGCAAAUUAUAUAGGAAUUAAGUAUUUGCAUAUGUGAUACUUCAAAUAUUUGCAUUUGCUGCUCCUGCAUUCAAUUGGGGACUCUAGAAAUUUUACCUAUUAUUUUUUCUAUUUUUCUGUAUUUCCAUUUUCUCCUAGGAAUCUUGAAUAUUCUGGAUUAUAGACUACCAGUUUCCUCAUGUGAAGAAUCAUUUGUAUUUUUAUUUAAUGUAUCUCUUGUUUAUUGUCUUUCUUAUUUAAGUUUUUUUAUUUAUUUGUUUUCUUCCUGCUGUGUAGAAAUCAACUUUAUAUAAUGGUAUUUUUCUCCCUGUUGAUGAUGAAGAAAAAAUAAUGGUGUUUUUCUUCCUAAUGAUGAUGAAGAAAAAAUAAGAAUAAAUUUCCCUCUGAUAUUCUACAUUGUACUUUUCCCUUAUUAUAUUGUCCUUGUAUAUCCUUACCAUUUCUAAACAUGGAAUUGCUUUUGAUAGAUUAUAGAAGCCACAAAUCCAAUGCAAUUUAAAGUCAUGAAUUGAUGUUUCAUAAUAGCAAUGGCGACCAAGAAAAUUCCGCCAAUCAUUAUAUCAUUAGGCACUAAAUGAGUAUGCAAAACUAUCUUUAACGGGCACAAUCAAUAAUGACGUUCAUCAAUGGAAAAGGCAAGGAUGAUCAUCUCUGGCUAAAAGUGUCUUCCCAAGUUAAGAUCUGUAUUUUAAAACGUUGAAUUUGAAAAUAUUUGUUGCUUUAUGAAUACUAUUGAUGGUUAAAUAGGUCAAAAUUUCAUGUGCAAUGGAUUGUAAAAAAAAUUGAGAUGCCGGCAAGUCAACUUCCUUAGAUGAUGGAAUUACUACGUACUCCUGGAAACCAAAGGUGUACUUCAUGAUAUUCAACAAGGUGAUAUUUCUACUACGUAAAUUUUAUAACACCCUCACUCGAAUUUGGCAAGAAUUAGAUAUUUUUGAAGAACUUAAUUGGAAAUGCCAAAUGAUGUAGCCAGGUAUCAGAAUAUUGUUGAAAAGAAUGGAGUGUUCCAAAUUUUCCUCAAACUUAAUAAGAAUCUUAAUGAAGUUAUAGGAAGAAUUUUUUGGAAUAAAAAUCUUAAAAUUCAUUUGAGAAGUCUUUUAUGAAAUGUGGAUAGAAGAAAGUCACAAGAACUUCAUAAUGGGAAAUCUAAGAGCUAAGCAUGCAUCAAUUAUUCGAGAGAGCUCGACUCUUGUUACAAGAGCUAAAAGGUUUUCUAUCGGCCUUGGUAUGAUCAUGGUUGGAAAAUUGGGCACACAAAGGAAACACGAUGCAAACUUUAUGGAAAGCCUAUGGGCUGAACCCUAGCAAACAAAUUCCAAACAAAGAAGGCCAUGAUUUUUUUGUCACCACCGAUAUUCAAUCAAAACAACAAUCAAAUCCUUUCAUACAAGAAAAGUUUGAUAUGUUAUAAAAGUUGUUUAGUUAACUCUAGCCAAUUCUCGAACACUUGAAAUUAGCACUGGUUUUAUUUCAAUAAAAUUUAUGGCUUUAAAUGUUUCUUUUAACAAAAUGAAGAAAUGCCUUCCUUUGAUUAUAGAUUCUAGAUCAUCAAAUCACAUGACAAUGAAUUCUUAUUUCACAUCCCGUAUCCUAAAUGAUAUAUCAUAUGGAUUUGCAUAUGGGCUAAUUUAUCGUGAUUGUAUUUGAACAAUAUUACUUUUGUCAACAUCCCCAUCAUAUCAAAGAAGAAAACUUGAUAAGGCUAUUUUUCAGAGCUACUCCUGCCCAUCAAAGGUACAAAUGUUAUCCUUCUUUCACCCAUAAACGUUAUAGCGCUAUGAAUGUAACAUUCCUUGAAAAUCAACAUUUUUAUUCAUAUUAAGGGGAGAAUUCUAACUAUUUCCAAGAAUAGUAAUUUUGUGGAUUGAUUUUAUCACCAAUUGAGGUAAACCAAUUGUCUUAAUUUUAGCCAUUGAUUAGCAACCCAUCUAUAGUACAUAAGACACCUUAUUGUUGAGAAUUUAUUAUUUUGCUUACUUGCAAGAAAGAGGAGAGUACCAGUCUUCUUUCUUCUGUGUGGAAUGAAGAGUGGAUAUGAUCGAGAAUGAAGCAAAGGCCUAAGUUAUCUUUCUUAAUUCUCUGUGAACUUUGAAGUUGUCUACCUUGGGGCCUAAGCUGCGUUAAAGUUGCAUGUGAGUCUCUUGAUGAACGGAUUGAGCUUCUGAGCCAGCGCAUUACAGAACUAGAGAAAUUGAAUUCAGCCGAGUCCCCAAAAGCUGUUGAGAGCAUAGACUAGAUG
Molecule: RNA transcript, 2499 nt
Organism: Dendrobium catenatum
Lineage: Eukaryota; Viridiplantae; Streptophyta; Magnoliopsida; Asparagales; Orchidaceae
Exons: 2
Source: RefSeq, a predicted model, not a curated record